UAUUAUUUUGAAGAGGGAGGAAAAAAAAAAGUAAAAAAAAAGAAAAAAAAGAAAAGGGAGUAGUAUUACUGUUACCUAAUCCUAAUUGCCAAAUAUCAAACCCACGACUCCUUCUUUUUCCUCUGUUUUACAUCUUCCUUUCUUUUCUUCAGUUUUCAACUCCUUGUAACAAGUAUCAAGGAAGCUACAAAAAUUUCCAUCAACUAUCAUCAUAUACCAAUAGUAGUUCGUCCAUCUUCACUACCUCUUAGUUUUGUGGGUUGAUCGAAGAAAAAUAGUUGUUCUUAGGUUUGUUAUAUCGGGUCAAAGAAGAGCGUUUUCGGGUCUUUGAUAGAGCAACUUCACCCUAUUACUUCCCCUAAUCAAGGCUUGAUGGUGACUAGCUUAUAUUGGGGUGAGAGCGUUGAUUUCACCUAGAUGUAGAUUUAUUAAAGUUAAGACUUCCGCUGCAAUAGUUUAGAAUUAUGGUUUGUUAUAGGAGUGUAUUAAUUAAUUACAUUUUCUUUUAGUUGUAAUAGUUAAUAAUUAAUUUAUGUAUUAGUAGUAGUAUCUUUCGCCUUGCUGUUAUUAAAUGUUUAUAACAGCGGCAUAACAGCUCUUGAAUUGUCCAUGCUUUGUACUCUAAUAUGUUUUCUAAAGAAAGUGGAAAAUCAAAGUUGUUAUAUCAUGAUAAACACAAGUUCUCAAGUUGAUAACCAUACAAUUCCACAUGUUCUUUUAACAUAAAACAUACUCUAGUCAUAAAGGUUUGCUACAAGAAAAUUCAUAUACUAAUACUUUAGUUCAAAAGAAAUCACAUGAUUAUAACAUAUUUAUACUAUUACCAAAAUAUAAUAACAUACUCUAGUUUCAAAGUAUUAUGAGAAUCAUACUUUUAUAAUAGUGAUUACUAACUCAGAAAUUCAUAAUAUUAGUCUAUAAAUUAUUUAUUACAUACAUUACCACAUAAUCAUAUAAUCACACAGAUAGCCGUUUUGCAACGGGAAAUAGGGUACGAUCAACAUCGAAAUUACCUCGAGUAGCACAGAUACGAAUAAUAAAGUCACCCCUAGAAAGCCCCUUCUACAAAAGCCCCUUCUACAAAAGCCCCGUCUACGAUAGUAAGUAAAUAAACUAAAUUAGUUACCUAUAUAUAAUACCCAACGUAGUUAAAAUUUGUUAAAUUAAAGGGAGUAGCUACUAUACUCUAAAAGUUUAGAAGAAUCAAGUACUAAAAGUAGUAUAAGGGUUUGGUUUUUAAAAAAACUACAAAAGAAAAUGAUAAAUGAUAAUAAAUAAAUAAAAGAAAAAAAAAA
Beta vulgaris subsp. vulgaris (sugar beet) is the source of this 1295-nucleotide long non-coding RNA. RefSeq lists it as uncharacterized. The record is from RefSeq and is a predicted model, not a curated record. The transcript is spliced from 2 exons. Lineage: Eukaryota; Viridiplantae; Streptophyta; Magnoliopsida; Caryophyllales; Amaranthaceae.